AGAGAAUUUUCUCUCUUUUUUAUCUUUUCCUGCUCUAGGGUUCAGCCCUAUUCUACUGCAGGCAGCGGCUUCCCCUGCCCGCUUCCUCUCUAGCCUGGAAGUGGGUUUUUCUCCCUCCCCACUUUCGGGAUGGGUUGUACAUAUAGGUUUUUCAUUUUUCAGGUGCAGGCCAGGUCCAGUGAACAAUGAGAGGGAUGUUAGUUGACCUGCUUAGUUUUCGUCAAUGGGUUGCAUGCUUGGUUGAUCUGUUUGGGUUCUGGGGGACUCGAGGUUGGAAGUCU
RNAcentral lists this unclassified non-coding RNA (281 nucleotides) under Hevea brasiliensis (rubber tree). The record is from RNAcentral. Lineage: Eukaryota; Viridiplantae; Streptophyta; Magnoliopsida; Malpighiales; Euphorbiaceae.